Molecule: ribosomal RNA, 467 nt
Filed under: uncultured bacterium
Lineage: Bacteria
Description: partial 16S ribosomal RNA
Rfam family: Bacterial small subunit ribosomal RNA
Source: RNAcentral
GACGAACGCUGGCGGCGUGCUUAACACAUGCAAGUCGAACGGAAAGGCCCUGCUUUUGUGGGGUGCUCGAGUGGCGAACGGGUGAGUAACACGUGAGUAACCUGCCCUUGACUUUGGGAUAACUUCAGGAAACUGGGGCUAAUACCGGAUAGGAGCUCCUGCUGCAUGGUGGGGGUUGGAAAGUUUCGGCGGUUGGGGAUGGACUCGCGGCUUAUCAGCUUGUUGGUGGGGUAGUGGCUUACCAAGGCUUUGACGGGUAGCCGGCCUGAGAGGGUGACCGGCAACAUUGGGACUGGGGUACGGCCCAGACUCCGAGGGGGGGCAGCGGGGGGGAAUAUUGCAAAAUGGGCGGAAGCCUGAUGCAGCAACGCCGGGGGGGGGAGGACGGCCUUCGGGUUGUAACCCGCUUUCCCCUGGGACGAAGCGGGGUGGACGGUAAUGGGAAAAGAAGCACCGGUAAACUACGU